Molecule: ribosomal RNA, 796 nt
Filed under: uncultured Sclerocystis
Lineage: Eukaryota; Fungi; Glomeromycota; Glomeromycetes; Glomerales; Glomeraceae
Description: SSU rRNA
Rfam family: Eukaryotic small subunit ribosomal RNA
Source: RNAcentral
AUCAACUUUCGAUGGUAGGAUAGAGGCCUACCAUGGUGGUAACGGGUAACGGGGUGUUAGGGCACGACACCGGAGAGGGAGCCUGAGAAACGGCUACCACAUCCAAGGAUGGCAGCAGGCGCGCAAAUUACCCAAUCCCGACACGGGGAGGUAGUGACAAUAAAUAACAAUACGGGGUUCUUUCGGAUCUCGUAAUUGGAAUGAGUACAAUUUAAAUCUCUUAACGAGGAACAAUUGGAGGGCAAGUCUGGUGCCAGCAGCCGCGGUAAUUCCAGCUCCAAUAGCGUAUAUUAAAGUUGUUGCAGUUAAAAAGCUCGUAGUUGAAUUUCGGGAUCAGUAGGUUGGUCAUGCCUAUGGUAUGUACUGGCUUUACUGGUUCCUCCUUCUUGAUGAUCUGUAAUGUCAUUAAUUUGGUGUUGCAGGGAGUCAGGACUGUUACUUUGAAAAAAUUAGAGUGUUUAAAGCAGGCAUACGCUUGAAUACAUUAGCAUGGAAUAAUGAAAUAGGACGUUCGAUCCUAUUUUGUUGGUUUCUAGGAUUGACGUAAUGAUUAAUAGGGAUAGUUGGGGGCAUUAGUAUUCAAUUGUCAGAGGUGAAAUUCUUGGAUUUAUUGAAGACUAACUACUGCGAAAGCAUUUGCCAAGGAUGUUUUCAUUAAUCAAGAACGAAAGUUAGGGGAUCGAAGACGAUCAGAUACCGUCGUAGUCUUAACCAUAAACUAUGCCGACUAGGGAUCGGAUGAUGUUAUUUUUAAUGACUCUUCGGCGCCUUACGGGAAACCAAAGUGUUUGGGUUC